RNAcentral lists this ribosomal RNA (253 nucleotides) under uncultured bacterium. RNAcentral's name for it is "partial 16S ribosomal RNA". It matches the Rfam family "Bacterial small subunit ribosomal RNA", at positions 524 to 776 of the family's 1533-position model. The record is from RNAcentral.
UACGAAGGUUGCAAGCGUUGUCCGGAUUUAUUGGGCGUAAAGCGCACGCAGGCGGCUUUUUAAGUCGGAUGUGAAAUCCCUCGGCUUAACCAAGGAAGUGCAUCCGAAACUGCAAGGCUUGAGUACUUAAGAGGAUCGCGGAAUUCCCGGUGUAGAGGUGAAAUUCGUAGAUAUCGGGAGGAACACCAGUGGCGAAGGCGGCGAUCUGGGAAGAUCCUGACGCUGAGGUGCGAAAGCGUGGGGAGCAAACAGG